This 1062-nucleotide long non-coding RNA is filed under the name Anser cygnoides (Swan goose). RNAcentral describes it as "lncRNA (ENSACDG00005004598.1)". Lineage: Eukaryota; Metazoa; Chordata; Aves; Anseriformes; Anatidae. The record is from RNAcentral.
AUGAAGGUGGUAAAAAGAGAGUUGUGCAGGCAUAGACAUCAAGAAAUGGUCCAGGACCAGGCUCAGGUGUAUGACAGUCCAGAUGGAUCUCAGCAAGUGUGCUCACCAGUACAGCUGGGCCAAGGAGGAGGCCAUCUCCCAGCAGCACAUCCACAGAGGUUGGUCCAUGGUCAGCAACCCCAGGGGCUGGACCCUGUGCAUGUCCAGAGGCAGACAGCCCAAGGAGGUAUGGUCCCAAACAUGGAACCACAGCAAAUGGAUGAUGGGUGGGAGGCCCCAGAGGUGACAGUGAAGGUGCGGCCUCAGAAGCUGAGCCAGGGGUGGGAGGCCCCAGAGGUGACAGUGCAAGUGCAGCCUCAGAAGCUGAGCCCAAGGUGGGAGAUGCCGGAGGUGACCGUGCAAGUGCAGUUACAGCAGAGGGGCCGAGGACCAGCUCUCCCACAAGUCACUGUGCAGGUACAGCCACAGGUCCAGGGACAGCGAAUGGCUGGCAUCAAGGUCACUGUGCAGAUGCACUCGGGCUGUGAACCAGAAGAAGUGACCCGUGUCCAGGACCAAGGUGAGGAAGUAUUAGAGAAUGGAGAGCAGCUGAUUCAAAAACAAAACCAGGGAGAUUCGAUGGCAAGAUCUGAAGGUGAGAGAGAACUGGCUGAGAUGGAGCUGGUGCCACAGGGGGCUUGGAAUCAAAAGCAGGAUCAAGAAGAAGAGGUGAUAAAACCCCAACAAGAACAGAGCCAAAACGGGGAAAGAGCAGAAGUGACAGAACUGCAGGAGAUGCGGGUUGAAGACCAAGCAGGCCUGGAUAGGAUGGUGACAGAAGAGAAGCUGCAGGACCAGAGCCAAGAGCAGGAAAAGUUAAAAGCAGACCUGUCACCACAACAGGAAGGUCAAAGAGAUACAGAGAUGAAACAGGACCAAAGUGAUGUCCACAUCCAAGAAGGGUUCAAGGGGUUGGUUGAAGAGCAACAGGAAGACCUGGAGCAAGAAGUGCCUAAGAAACGCCCACGAGAAACUCCAAAUUACUUUGUCUCUAUACCAAUCACAGAUGAUCAGGUACUUUAA